GAUCUGGGCACUGUCUCAACGAGAGACUCGGUGAAAUUAUAGUACCUGUGAAGAUGCAGGUUACCCGCGACAGGACGGAAAGACCCCGUGGAGCUUUACUGCAACCUGAUAUGGAAUGUUUGUACCGCUUGUACAGGAUAGGUAGGAGCCGAAGAGACGUGUGCGCUAGCAUACGAGGAGGCAAUGGUGGGAUACUACCCUGGCUGUAUGACCAUUCUAACCCGCCACGCUUAGCGCGUGGGGAGACAGUGUCAGGUGGGCAGUUUGACUGGGGCGGUCGCCUCCUAAAGAGUAACGGAGGCGCCCAAAGGUUCCCUCAGAAUGGAUGGAAAUCAUUCGCAGAGUGUAAAGGCACAAGGGAGCUUGACUGCGAGACUGACAAGUCGAGCAGGGACGAAAGUCGGGCUUAGUGAUCCGGUGGUUCCGCAUGGAAGGGCCAUCGCUCAACGGAUAAAAG
Molecule: ribosomal RNA, 457 nt
Filed under: Klebsiella pneumoniae
Lineage: Bacteria; Pseudomonadati; Pseudomonadota; Gammaproteobacteria; Enterobacterales; Enterobacteriaceae
Description: partial 23S ribosomal RNA
Rfam family: Bacterial large subunit ribosomal RNA
Source: RNAcentral